UUUAUGGAGAGUUUGAUCCUGGCUCAGGAUGAACGCUGGCGGCGUGCCUAAUACAUGCAAGUCGAGCGAACAGAUAAGGAGCUUGCUCCUUUGACGUUAGCGGCGGACGGGUGAGUAACACGUGGGUAACCUACCUAUAAGACUGGAAUAACUCCGGGAAACCGGGGCUAAUGCCGGAUAACAUGUUGAACCGCAUGGUUCUACAGUGAAAGACGGUCUUGCUGUCACUUAUAGAUGGACCCGCGCCGUAUUAGCUAGUUGGUGGGGUAACGGCCUACCAAGGCGACGAUACGUAGCCGACCUGAGAGGGUGAUCGGCCACACUGGAACUGAGACACGGUCCAGACUCCUACGGGAGGCAGCAGUAGGGAAUCUUCCGCAAUGGGCGAAAGCCUGACGGAGCAACGCCGCGUGAGUGAUGAAGGUCUUCGGAUCGUAAAGCUCUGUUGUUAGGGAAGAACAAAUGUGUAAGUAACUGUGCACAUCUUGACGGUACCUAACCAGAAAGCCACGGCUAACUACGUGCCAGCAGCCGCGGUAAUACGUAGGUGGCAAGCGUUAUCCGGAAUUAUUGGGCGUAAAGCGCGCGUAGGCGGUUUUUUAAGUCUGAUGUGAAAGCCCACGGCUCAACCGUGGAGGGUCAUUGGAAACUGGAAAACUUGAGUGCAGAAGAGGAAAGUGGAAUUCCAUGUGUAGCGGUGAAAUGCGCAGAGAUAUGGAGGAACACCAGUGGCGAAGGCGGCUUUCUGGUCUGCAACUGACGCUGAUGUGCGAAAGCGUGGGGAUCAAACAGGAUUAGAUACCCUGGUAGUCCACGCCGUAAACGAUGAGUGCUAAGUGUUAGGGGGUUUCCGCCCCUUAGUGCUGCAGCUAACGCAUUAAGCACUCCGCCUGGGGAGUACGGUCGCAAGACUGAAACUCAAAGGAAUUGACGGGGACCCGCACAAGCGGUGGAGCAUGUGGUUUAAUUCGAAGCAACGCGAAGAACCUUACCAAAUCUUGACAUCCUUUGACCGCUCUAGAGAUAGAGUUUUCCUCUUCGGAGGACAAAGUGACAGGUGGUGCAUGGUUGUCGUCAGCUCGUGUCGUGAGAUGUUGGGUUAAGUCCCGCAACGAGCGCAACCCUUGAACUUAGUUGCCAUCAUUCAGUUGGGCACUCUAAGUUGACUGCCGGUGACAAACCGGAGGAAGGUGGGGAUGACGUCAAAUCAUCAUGCCCCUUAUGAUUUGG
Molecule: ribosomal RNA, 1230 nt
Filed under: Staphylococcus pseudintermedius
Lineage: Bacteria; Bacillati; Bacillota; Bacilli; Caryophanales; Staphylococcaceae
Description: bacterial SSU rRNA
Rfam family: Bacterial small subunit ribosomal RNA
Source: RNAcentral